RNAcentral lists this Y RNA (106 nucleotides) under Prolemur simus (greater bamboo lemur). RNAcentral describes it as "Y RNA (ENSPSMG00000016158.1)". It matches the Rfam family "Y RNA". Rfam says of the family: Y RNAs are components of the Ro ribonucleoprotein particle (Ro RNP), in association with Ro60 and La proteins. The Y RNAs and Ro60 and La proteins are well conserved, but the function of the Ro RNP is not known. The record is from Rfam by way of RNAcentral. Lineage: Eukaryota; Metazoa; Chordata; Mammalia; Primates; Lemuridae.
GGCAGGUCUGAUGGUAGUGGGUUAUCUAUCAGAACUUAUUAUUAAUAACAUUAUCAUCACUAAAGUUGGUAUACAACCCCCUACUGCUAAAUUUGACUGGCUUUUA